CCGCUGGAAGAUGAUGAACUCAUCUCCUACAUGCUGUGAGGCCUCAGAUUAGAGUUUGAUCUGCUGGUGAUAAGUAUCACCAUGAGAUCUGAUCUGAUGACUGCUAACGAUGUUUAUGCUCAAAUGUUAAGCUUUGAAC
This is a small nucleolar RNA of Phragmites australis (common reed), 139 nucleotides long. RefSeq annotates it as small nucleolar RNA Z247. Lineage: Eukaryota; Viridiplantae; Streptophyta; Magnoliopsida; Poales; Poaceae. The record is from RefSeq and is a predicted model, not a curated record. The transcript has a single exon.